UUUUCUCCAGCCCAACCGAGUGAAGAAUUUGCUUUUUUCAAUUUGGGAACAGUGGGUAUUUUCAAGUCACCAAUUUGUGUGAACCCAGAUUUACCACCACAUACUAUUAAAAUUCUGCCAAUUUUGUCAUAAGACCCCUUGGCUUCUCACAUCUCCUUUCUCUCAUUAUCUCUGCGCUGGCCCAAUUUGAGUUUCUCCUGCACAGGUCCUAGGACAUAUUCGAAGGUAAGAAAGUAUCAUUCAUUCUGGUAAAUUCUAUGGGUCGUUCUCAAAACUUUACUUAAAGCAUCCCACAUUUAUAGCUUCUCUAGUCAUUGAGCAGUUUUCUUUUUUUUUGUAAAUAAAAUCCUACUUUUUGUCAACAAACUUUUUUCUCUUUCUUCUUUCUUUUUCUUUCUCUUUCUCUCCUCCCUCCCUUUCCUUCCUUCCUUCCAUCUUUCUUUCAAGGAGAGUGGUUCUGAAAGAGCAGUCCAUAGAAUCCUGGUGGUCCCCAGGACAUAUUCAGAGGGUCUACAUGAGCAAAACCAUCUUCAUAAUAACUAGGAUGUUAUUUGCCUUUUAUAUGGUUUUGGCAUUGCAAUGAUGGUACAAAAGCAGUGGUAGGUAAAACUUCUAGCAUCUUAAUAAGGCAAUGGCACCAAACUGAAGAGUGGUCACUCUAGUAUUUCUAGUUUAAAAAAAAAAAAAGCCAGAUUCACUUCAAAAAUUGUCUUUAAUUAAGCAAUGCAAUUUAUUAAUUUUAUUAAACCUUGGCUCUUGAGUAAACAUCUUUUUAGUAUCUCAUGUGACAAAAUGGGAGAUAUAAAUAUGAAGGCUGUUAUGAGGUUGAGUUGUGAGCUGGCUUACUGGCUUUUUCAUAGAAUACCAUUUUUCCUUAAAAGGCUACUGAUGCACAAACUGUGAUUGUUCAGACUUGUGUAUUUGACAGACAUUUCCUUUAAGAUGUCAAUUCAAGAAGACAAACUACCGUGUUUGUUGCCAAGGAUAAAACUGGAAAGUUCAGGUAAAAAUUUAUAUUUUUGAAAACUUUACCCUGAGUUUGAACACUUCUUGUUUCUUAACGAUUUUUCUGAUGAGCUCACUGGUGAUACAAAGGCAACUUUUUGAUGCUGUGUGGACGUUUGGAAGAUCAGUAUAACUCAGUAAACCAAUAUUUUCUUAAAAAGUAUCAAUAUAUAAUAUCACAGAAUUACACGUGGUAAGAGAAUCAUUCGGUGUGCAAGACAGACCAAUUGGUUUUAAUGUAAUAGAGUAAAAAUAUUUACUUAGACAAUUUAAGUUUCCAAAUUAUAACUAAACUUUAAAACCUUCUACUUAUUGAGUCUUGGUUUAGUUUCAAAAAAAAAAAAUUCACAAACUGAAAAGAGCUAUAAAAAUACUUCUCCUUUUUUCAAGUACAUAUCUAUAUGAAGUCAGAUAUUUUUCAUAUACUUCAGCAAGAGUAACAUUUCAACGUAUUGAAUACAGACACUUACAUGAAAAUUCAGCUGCUUUGCUUAAGCCAAACAUUAAAAAUACUUGUGAAAAUGCAAAACAUUGCCAUUCUUUUCACAAUUCUUUUCCUUGGGAAAUGUGAUUAUUUUUUAUAAAAAGGUAUCAUUUUCUUUGAAAAGUAAUGGAUUUAUCAUCACUCGUUUUAAAAUAAAUAAGUAUUUUUGAAUUUUAAAAAAAUGUCUAAUAUAUGAAAAAGUGACAAAGACAACUCCUAUAAGUAAAAGUCUUUGGGGCCUAGAUAAGAUUUAGGCAUGUAAGGGUAUUCUGAAACCAAAAUUUUAACAACACAGUUUUGGGGAAAGGAAAGUGUUAGUGGCACUUUGUCACACAACCCUUAAGAGUAGAGAGUGGUCAGAUUUCUUACAAGUUGACUAUGAUUUUAUGGAUUGAGCCUCAAUAUACUCUGAAGAGAAAUAGCAGAGAAGAAUGAUUGAACAGCAUAGAGAUCUUGAAGAUUUUAAAAAAUGUAUUGUUUUUAGUCUUACAUAUUGCAAUUUUGGAAGGAAAGAAUCUAGUGUUACUGAUAAAAAGAUUUCUUCCAAAGUGUAUACAAAUUUGAAUCCCAUUUACAGUCUACUAACUCCCAUUUAGAGUUAACUAGUAUGGGUGUUACAGUAUUUUUUCCUACUCCUGAACAUAGGACCCAGCAUCCAGUACCUCUCUGUUGAGUAUUUAUGACAGUGUGUUUGUUUUACCUUGACUUUUGUUUUACUUUUUAAUGCAGAAUAUUAGUUACUUUAUAAUUAAGCAUUAAUUAAAGUAACUGGUACGUUUGAUAAAUGUCUGUGCUCAUCACCUUCACUGUCACUUAGGGUUCAAAUUUCUUCUUUUUUAUUGAAGUGUAAUUGACAUAUAGCACUAUACUAGUUUCAGGUGUACAACAUAGUGAUUCAAUAUUUGUGUAUAUUACAAAACGAUAACCAAAA
RNAcentral lists this long non-coding RNA (2420 nucleotides) under Sus scrofa (pig). Its description in RNAcentral is "lncRNA (ENSSSCG00025013980.1)". The record is from RNAcentral. Lineage: Eukaryota; Metazoa; Chordata; Mammalia; Artiodactyla; Suidae.